Molecule: non-coding RNA, 72 nt
Organism: Phrynosoma platyrhinos (Desert horned lizard)
Lineage: Eukaryota; Metazoa; Chordata; Lepidosauria; Squamata; Phrynosomatidae
Source: the annotation of a GenBank genome assembly
GCCAGCGUGGUAUAGUGGUUUGAGUGCUGGAGUCUGACUCUGAAGAGCAGGGUUCGAAUCCCAGCUCGGCCA